GACGAACGCUGGCGGCGUGCUUAACACAUGCAAGUCGAACGGAAAGGCCCUGCUUUUGUGGGGUGCUCGAGUGGCGAAAGGGGGAGUAACACGUGAGUAACCUGCCCUUGACUUUGGGAUAACUUCAGGAAACUGGGGCUAAUACCGGAUAGGAGCUCCUGCUGCACGGUGGGGGUUGGAAAGUUUCGGCGGUUGGGGAUGGACUCGCGGCCUAUCCGCUUGUUGGUGGGGUAGUGGCUUACCAAGGCUUUGACGGGUAGCCGGCCUGAGAGGGUGACCGGCCACAUUGGGACUGAGAUACGGCCCAGACUCCUACGGGAGGCAGCAGUGGGGAAUAUUGCACAAUGGGCGGAAGCCUGAUGCAGCAACGCCGCGUGCGGGAUGACGGCCUUCGGGUUGUAAACCGCUUUCGCCUGUGACGAAGCGUGAGUGACGGUAAUGGGUAAAGAAGCACCGGCUAACUACGUG
This 468-nucleotide ribosomal RNA is filed under the name uncultured bacterium. RNAcentral describes it as "partial 16S ribosomal RNA". It matches the Rfam family "Bacterial small subunit ribosomal RNA", at positions 28 to 507 of the family's 1533-position model. The record is from RNAcentral.